AACGAACGCUGGCGGCGCGCUUAACACAUGCAAGUCGAACGAGAAGCUGUAGCAAUACAGUUGUAAAGUGGCAAACGGGUGAGUAAUGCGUGGGUAAUCUACCCUAGGGUGGGGAAUAACUCCUCGAAAGGGGAGCUAAUGCCGACAUGUGCGCCACUCUCGCAAGGGAGUGAUGGAAAGCCGUACCGUGGGUGCGGCGCCCAAGGAUGAGCUCACGUCCUAUCAGCUGUUGGCGGGUAACGGCCCACCAAGGCUGCGACGGGUAGCUGGUCUGAGAGGACGACCAGCCACACUGGCACUGCGACACGGGCCAGACUCCUACGGGAGGCAGCAAGUGAGGAAUAUUGCGCAAUGGACGACAGUCUGACGCAGCGACGCCGCGGUGGGGGA
Molecule: ribosomal RNA, 390 nt
Filed under: uncultured bacterium
Lineage: Bacteria
Description: bacterial SSU rRNA
Rfam family: Bacterial small subunit ribosomal RNA
Source: RNAcentral